Molecule: ribosomal RNA, 482 nt
Filed under: uncultured bacterium
Lineage: Bacteria
Description: partial 16S ribosomal RNA
Rfam family: Bacterial small subunit ribosomal RNA
Source: RNAcentral
GACGAACGCUGGCGGCGUGCUUAACACAUGCAAGUCGAACGAUGAACCUCGAAAUGCCCUCUUCGGAAGGAUUUUUGGGAGGAUUAGUGGCGAACGGGUGAGUAACGCGUGAGCAACCUGCCUUAGACAAGGGGAUAGCCUCGGGAAACCGUGAUUAAUACCCUAUGAGACUCCACUUACGCGUGUAAGAGCAGUUAAAGCUAUUGCGGUCUAAGAUGGGCUCGCGUCUGAUUAGCUAGUUGGUGAGAUACAAGCCCACCAAGGCGACGAUCAGUAAACGGGUUGAGAGAGAGAACGGUCACAUUGGAACUGAGACACGGUCCAAGCUACUACGGGAGGCAGGAGAGGGGAAUAUUGCACAAUGGGGGGGGAACCAUGAUGCAGCGACGACGGGUGAGCGAUGAAGGAAUUCGUUUCGUAAAGCUCUGUCCUUGGAGAAGAUAAUGACGGUAACCAAGGAGGAAGCACCGGCUAACUACGUG